RNAcentral lists this ribosomal RNA (253 nucleotides) under uncultured bacterium. RNAcentral describes it as "partial 16S ribosomal RNA". It matches the Rfam family "Bacterial small subunit ribosomal RNA", at positions 524 to 776 of the family's 1533-position model. The record is from RNAcentral.
UACAGAGGUCUUAAGCGUUGUUCGGAUUCAUUGGGCGUAAAGGGUGCGUAGGUGGUUGGGUAAGUCAAAUGUGAAAUCCCGGAGCUCAACUCCGGAACUGCAUUCGAUACUGCCCGGCUCGAGGAUUGGAGAGGAGACUGGAAUUCACGGUGUAGCAGUGAAAUGCGUAGAGAUCGUGAGGAACACCCGUGGCGAAGGCGGGUCUCUGGACAAUUCCUGACACUGAGGCACGAAGGCCAGGGGAGCAAACGGG